Molecule: transfer RNA, 73 nt
Filed under: Camelus bactrianus (Bactrian camel)
Lineage: Eukaryota; Metazoa; Chordata; Mammalia; Artiodactyla; Camelidae
Also listed under: 1 other name
Rfam family: tRNA
About the family: Transfer RNA (tRNA) molecules are approximately 80 nucleotides in length. Their secondary structure includes four short double-helical elements and three loops (D, anti-codon, and T loops).
Source: Rfam by way of RNAcentral
GAGGGCAUAGCUCAAGUGGUAGAGCUCGUGUUUAGCGUGCACAAGGUCCUGGGUUCAAUUCCCAGUACCUCCU